This 111-nucleotide ribosomal RNA is filed under the name Streptomyces sp. ISID311. RNAcentral's name for it is "partial 23S ribosomal RNA". It matches the Rfam family "Bacterial large subunit ribosomal RNA", at positions 2819 to 2925 of the family's 2925-position model. Lineage: Bacteria; Bacillati; Actinomycetota; Actinomycetes; Kitasatosporales; Streptomycetaceae. The record is from RNAcentral.
CUUGAGGGGUUAAGGCUCCCAGUAGACGACUGGGUUGAUAGGCCAGAUAUGGAAGCGCCGUAAGGUGUGGAGUUGACUGGUACUAAUAGGCCGAGGGCUUGUCCUCAGUUG